This is a non-coding RNA of Paramuricea clavata, 169 nucleotides long. The record is from the annotation of a GenBank genome assembly. NCBI's taxonomy places the organism in Eukaryota, Metazoa, Cnidaria, Anthozoa, Malacalcyonacea, Plexauridae.
CCUCACACUGAGGACAAGGUUCCUCACUCUGAAGACAAGGUGCUUCACACUGAGGACAAGGUUCUUCACUCUUAGAACACUGACGAACCUUGUCCUCAGAGUCACAAACCUUCUUUUCAGAGAAAGGAACCUUCUCAUCAGGGUGAGGAACCUUGUCCUCAGAGUGAGA